AUUUAUUUACAUUUUACAUUAUAAAUUUACUAUUUCUGUGAUUGUUUACUUUUUACUGUACAGAGUAUCGUUAGAAAAUAUGCAAAAACUCAUUUAAUUUCCAAAAAUAAUAACACUAGUCCUCCACUACUUCUUAGUGUGAUUUUCAAAUAUAGCCUUAGAUAUUUCUUGAAAUAUCGUUCUUUGUUCUAUUUUGUUGACCAUGAAAUUAAAAGUGUCAUUAGAUAUUUUAAUAGUAAUUGUCGUGGUAUUGUUUAUAAGUCCUAAUUUAUGUUAUAAACCUGUCGUUUUAAUUCAUGGCAUAAUGACGGGCAGUGGAAGUAUGGAAAUGAUUUCAAGAAGGAUCCAAGAGAAACAUCCUGGAACAAAAGUUUAUAAUGUUAACAGAUUUGAAAGUUGGUCCAGCUUAGAGACAAUGUGGCACCAAGUGCUGGAAAUUGGACAAGAUGUGGCAAAUAUAUCUAGUCAAUAUCCUGAUGGAAUAAAUCUCAUAGGAUACUCUCAAGGUGGACUAGUUGCCAGAGGCAUAGUGCAGACAUUUCCUAAUGUGUCUGUGAGCACUUUUAUAUCAUUGAGCUCACCACAGGCUGGACAGUAUGGAGCUGGUUUCCUCCAUGUGGUGUUUCCGGGUUUGGUGAAAGAGUCAGCAUAUGAAUUGUUUUAUUCUAGAGUGGGUCAACACACAUCUGUUGGUAACUACUGGAAGGACCCCUACCAUCAGUCACUGUAUGAGACCUACAGUGUCUACCUGCCUUUUAUCAAUAAUCAUAUAAAAUCAGCGAAGUCAGAUGAUUUUAAGGCAAAUUUACUACGGCUCAAGAGGCUAGUCUUGAUUGGCGGGCCUGACGAUAAUGUUAUUACUCCAUGGCAAAGCAGCCAAUUUGGAUAUUACGGCGUCAACGAUACUGUGAUAGAAAUGUACAAUCAAGAGAUAUAUGUAAAUGACUCUAUAGGCUUAAGAACAUUGGACAAGAGUGGUCGAUUGCACGUUGUGACUGUACCAGGGGUGAAUCAUUUCAGUUGGCACAUGAACGUGAGCAUUGUAGACGAUUAUCUAUUGCAGUAUUUAGAUUAAGAUUAACACGUAGAUCUGAUGCUUUUCUCGUAAUUUAUUGAAAAACUGUAGGUUUCAUAAGAAUUUGGCGUAUUGUCUUGUUUCAAAAUGGAUGCUCUGUUAUUUAAGUCAAAGUGAGUUUAAAAUUCAAUUAAAUCCUUUAUUUUGCCAGAAAACAUGUAACAAUGGGUGUCAGCAAUUUUAAAUUAUCAAUGUAACCGGCCAUUGCUGGCAUGCAAAAUUAUUAUUAAAUAUUAACUCUAGCGGCCUUACAAAUAAUCUGUGUAUAAAGUUAUAGCUAAUCUACCUAUAUAUAUAAAUGAAUUGCUGUUCGUUAGUCUCGCUAAAACUCGAGAACGGCUGGACCGAUUUAUUUGUGGAAGUCCAGAGAAGGUUUCUGUUGUGAAACAAUUUUAUUACGACAACAGGGUGCAUAUUUUACGAAGUAAUUCUUGAUGUUAUGAUAUAUUAUUGACAAAUUCAUAAAAAAACAUUAUUUUAUUUAUUAUAUACAUAACAACGUCUGUCGGAUCAGCUAGUAAACAAUAAAUAUGCAAAAUUUUGACUUUAUCACUGACAACACUGUCAAAAAAAUUAUAAUUCUGAAGUUUUUCAAAUGUCAGCCUUGCAAAUAAACACGGGAAACGUUAUACGUCUGAAUAAACCAAUCAUUAGGAACAUGUCUAAAUUGUAAAUAGUUUGCAUACUAGGUUUAUCUUAAUAUAUAUAAAUUACGUGACACGUUGUUUGUUCGCGAUGGACUCAUAAACUAAUGAACGGAUUUUAAUGGGGAUUACUUCAUGGAGUGCAGUUUGGUCCAACUUGAGUUGCGACCCAUAAUUAUUUUUAUUUUCAAUAUUUGUUUUGUAUGGACAUAUUUUCUAUGUGAGAAAUUAGUUACGCACGGUUUGACAGUUCCGCUGUGAAACAAUUUCAUUAUAACAACAGGGAGCUUUUUUAAGAAAUAAUUCUUGAUGUUUUGAAAUAUUAUUGGCACAUUCAUUUAAAACAGUAUUUUUUAUUAUCUACAGAACAACGUCUGUUGGGGCAGCUAGUUAUAUUAUAUAAUUAGGUAUAUUCUUAGGUAUAACUAUAUAUCAAGUUUAUUUGUGCGGCCGUAGUUGUUUUAAUUAGUUUUGCUGACAUAAAUCAAAAGACUGGCUAAUGUUCGUGUCUUCUGACUCCAACCAAGCUAUGCGGUGCUAUGAAUAGAAAUUGGCCAUAAGAGUGUGCAUGUUGGAAUUAGACAUACCAUAAGUAAUGUUAUAAAGUGGUGGUAUUGAAUUUUAAAAUAAUUGUUCACAAUCCAAGUGUGUUUUGGGUUGGGUAUGUUUUUUGUUUCAUUAUCAUCAGAUAUUGUUUUUUUUCUAAGAUAUUGUGAUAUUAAAAGUCGCUAAUUUAGACAUAAUAGAACUGUAAAGAUAGGCUUUGCCCAACACUGACAAAGUUAAGAGUGGAUAUGAAUUUUGAUAAAUAAUUUUUACAAGUUUUAAAAACAUUUUUUUUUUAAUUUUUUUAUUUAACCGUGUUGUGUUAUACAAGUCUAGCUACUUAUAUAAGUAUAUUAUUAUUAUGUAAUAAAUUUGGGUAAUAUUAUGUAGAUAUACUAUGUUGUAUGUACUAUUAAGUUAUUUCAAUAAAUUAGUUUUAAGUAGACAAUUUUACUAGACAUGUUUAGUGUGUACUAAGAGUGAUAAAUUGUGCUUUUUUGGCAUAUUUUAUGAACAUUCUUUUACCGUAAUAUUUAAUAUUUAAAUACCAGUGGGAGGCUCCCGUGCACAGGAUGCUGGCUAGAUUAUGGGUACCAUAACGGCGCUUUUACCUGCCGUGAAGUAGUAAUGUAGUGAAAUUGUACUGCCACUCUGAAUUUUUGGUUUUUUCAAGAAUCCUGAGCGGCACUGCAUUGUUAUGGGCAGGGCGUAUCAAUAACCAUCAGCUGAACGUCCUGCUAGAUAAUAACGCUACGGUAAUCGGAUAAAUUCUACUCAAAUAAUAAUUAAGAUGGCCAAAAAUAAUUUUAAUCAGAUUAGUUUAAUUAUCAAUUAGUUAAAACAUUAUUUUAUAGUUGAAUGUUUAUAACCACAAAUUAUUAUUUAUUUUUCUGGUUUCAAUCGCCCAAUAAGGACCAUAAACAAAUUUAUUUUGUAACUUUAUAUAAUUUAUAUGUGUAGAUAGAGUCUCUUCUAAUACAAUCGAUGACAACAGGCCAGGUCUAUUACUUUGGUGUGCCUGACAAGCUACGUCUUACACUCGCGAUUUGUAUGUCACUUUGUGUUAGUGUGCAUUCAUUGCUCAAAAUGGAGGUUAACAGUCAAACUCAAUAUUUUUAAGCUGUGAAUGUCUAUCUAGACUUAUAAAUGAUCUAAGUUUGUAUGAAUGUGCAGAAAUUUGGUACAAAUAUAUUAUUUAAUGUGUGUGUGUAAUAGUUUGUGUUAAAAUUAUUCACAAUAGGUGUUUAUGCCACUAUCAAGUAACCAAAAAUCAAUUAUUUAUUUAUUUAGCAUUAUAGAAUUUGAAGGACUUCCUUUUUAAGUUCACAGAACCUGUGUUAGGGAAGACCGCUCUUUCCAGCGGAUAAUAAUGAUAACUUAUUUAACAAAAAACAAAUACUUCAAUAAACUAAUCUUAAGUAAUGAAUGCCAGUAUGUCGCAAAUCGUACAAUAUAUAAUAAUAGUAUGAGUGUUAUAAUGGUUAAUUACUUGUAGUUGGAUUCAAUUUCUAUGACUCAAAAAAAAAAAAAAAAAAUUGUGGCGGAAAUACUGAAAUUGCACAGGUCGUGAGGUUUUUGAGAUGUGAAGUUUACGGCCUGAAAAGAUGGUUGUGGCUUUUAUAUUGUAUCAAAUACAAUGAAACUACUUAUAAAGUUUUCACUGUACAGUUGGCUCGUUUAGAAAUGAUCAUGCCAUGCAGGAAUUACUAGUUUUGUAUAUAUUUUUAUAAAUACUUAUUUAAAAUACUAGUUCAAGAUAAACAUUACAUUUACAGCAUUUUCCUGUUUCUGGUUAUGUGUAGGUUAUCAUACGAAAUAGAAAUUAAUGUUCAAAUUACCAAAUACUUAUUGUUACUUAUAGAAAAGACUAGAAAGUGUCAUAUAGGUGCUGUAGCCAGUGAGAUUACUGUGCAAAUUAGACUUAACAUCUUAAGGUGACGAGCACAGUUGUAGUUUCAAGAAUCCUGAGCGGCACUGCAUUGUAAUGGGCAGGGCGUUUCAAUUAUCAGCUGAACGUCCUGCUCGUCUUGUCCGAUAUUUUCAUUAAAAAAAAAUUGUCAUAUAUUUUUAUUUAUAUAAUUAUGAAACAGAUUUUUUGCUGUCGUCAUUUAUAUAAAAGCGUACCUAUAUUAUCAUAUAUUUAUAGAGCACUCUUUUUUUUAUCCUACCUACCAAAAGCCAAGUAAUUUUAUCAUUAUAAGUGUCAGAAACUCAUUCUAGGCGAGGAGAGAUCUCUCCAAUCAUGCGUUAUAAGUGUAUAGUUUUAGUAACGAGAGACGUGCCAAGAUUUUUCAAAUAUGUGUAUUUUGUAAGCGCACAUUAUAAAAAAUUUAAUAAAAAUGUCAGAAAUAAACAUUCAGUCAGGAAACUGCUCCUGUGGAGUCUGGAAAAGUAAUGGCAUAUUUUUUUUUUUUUUUUUGCGCCCAAGCAAGGGAAUGGGCUACCCUUCGGGGUAACGACGGGAGGGCGGUGGUGAAUGCUCAUGCAUACCAACGCAGUCUAAGUCUGCGUUGGUUAUGUGGGACUCACGUGAAAACCUAGGUGCCUACCCACUAAACACCACCUGCAGUUGGCUUUGGGCAGGUGCCCUCUAAGCCUACAUCGAAGGCGACUUUCUCAUGGGGAGAGAGAGGCGCAAGCGGCACUCCCUAUGGAGUUUCCGCUGGGAUAAUUAUAGGCCUUCCGCUGUACUGUGCAUUUCUUAUAUAGCACUCAACGUCACACGGUUAAUGCACUGUCGAUGUCGUGACAGUGACAAUGAUAGUUAACACAUACUCUGUUAAGACUAGAUGUCAAUACACUACAGAAUCUUAUAGGCAUUAUUUAUUACGUGACAGUAGAACCUUGCGACUUGCCCCGUACUAUUACGCCGGACUUCCUUUCCCAAUUGUCACGCGGGCAUAAUAUUCUAAUUUAUAAAAGAAAUAUUGUUAUUGUAGUAUAUAGCAUUAAACAGAUACCUCACAGCAAAUUGAUGGCUGUAUACUUAGUUAUAAGUUAGUUAAAUAACCAAUAAUAUUGAAACUAUGCCAUAAUAUAAUAACUUUUCCCUUUUUGUAGCAUAGUUUGGCACGGCUAUACUGAGCCCGCUUUUUUGAAGGUUUUUGUAUUGUUAUAUAUUUUCCUUGGAUUACGUAAAAGUGUACGUUUUCCACUCUUUAUAUGUCAGAUCUAAUAAUAACUGUACAAAUCACAACUGUAACAGAAUAGUUAUCGUUAUUUUAUAAAUAAAUGUAAUCAUCAUUCUCACCAAUGACGUUCUAUACAUAUGGACAUAUCAUUCGCAGUCUGACAGUGGAACGGAAAAAGUGUGCUUAAAGACAAUGUAAGCACACUUUUCUAUUUAGUCGUGCGUCAACUGUGUGUCAAUCAACAAGCCUAGGUGUGCUAUAAAAAGUGCUUAAAUAGUUCAUUAACGACCCAAAAAAGAAGAUGGACUGACUUAUCAUCGGUAAGGUUAUUUUAUUUAUAUAAGAUUAAUAUGCAAAAAGCUUAAGUAAUUUAAUAAAACAAAUAUUUUUUUAUUUAAUAUGGUAUUAAUUAUUGACAAGUCCCCAGACAAUAUCGGCUUUGAUAUUGUAUGAGGUGCAUUGUCUAUAUGUACGUCAUUGAUUCUCACAAUCUAAACUACAAUUAUUUGUGUGUUAGUAUAUCAUAUCAAUUCUUUGUUCAUUUUUACAAAUUACUGACUUAUAAUGUAUUCAAAGGUCUUGUGUUUUUCUGUAGAUGUACCACUGUAAGCAAAUUAACAUAUAAUAGUCAAGCAAUAGUCAAUAUAUUUGUCUCACAUUCUACCAAAGUUGUAAUAUGAUUACUGCUUCAAUAAUUUUUGGUUUAAGUUCUCUUAAUGGUGUAUAUUAUAACCCAUCUGAAACUAGUUAAAUACCAGUUACCAGUUUACCAGUUUGACCUUUGAUCCUACCUACUAAGCUAGAGCUCCCGGGUUCGAAUUCCGGUAGGUGCAAGCAUUUAUAUGAUGAAUAUGAAUGUUUGUUUCCGAGUCAUGGAAGUUUAAAUGUAUUUAUGUGUGUUUAUAUGAAUUAAUGUAUUUUUAAGUAAGUAUAUUGUAUAAAAUAUAUCGUUGUCUUGUAACCUAUAACACAGGCUAUAUAUGCUUAACUUGGGUCAAGAUUAUUUGUGUAAAAAGUGUGUAAAAAAAAUUAACUUAAUAGAUCUUCAAGGUGUCAUAAAUUAGGAUCACACAACUCAAAUCUUUUGGAGUUUUCAAUCUAUGGUGGGUUUUCAAAAUUUGAUUGAAGUAGGCCGUUGUGACUGAAGUAUGUUCGUUAAUGGGUGUCAUAAAAAAACAUACAUUGUACCAAUUUUUGAUUUUUGGACAAACAUCGACGACACACACGAACUAGAGGUGCGUAGAUGUCGUUGUACCGAUGCGUGUCAUAUUACGAGGAUGAUUUAUUAGGUUGUGAAAGCAGUUUUUCACUUUAAUCGGAGUAGUAGGGUCCAUCCAUAAAUGACAUCACACGAAUUUCUUGAUUUUUUUCACCCCUCCCCCGUCCUAGUGACAGCGGAUCACAUGUGUAGUACUGUGAGCGAGAAGAAUGUCUGAAUUAAUAAUGAAUUGUCUGUAGUUUAUGUAAUUGGUGUUAACCGUUUUAAUUAAAGUAAGUAAGUAAAUAAAUUAAUAACGUGAAAUAAAGCUAUUCCAAGUUUAAUCUUUUUAAACUUGGAGUAACUUUACACUGCGUUUAUUAAUCAGACAGGAAUAGUAUUGUGUUGUAAUUCCCAAGAGUUACAUAUUCACUAUAGUGACAGCGAAUUGAAAUAACAUUAACUAUUUGUUGUAGAUGCUUUUUGAAUAAAUAUACAAAUUUACACAA
RNA transcript from Leptidea sinapis, 7103 nucleotides. It is a transcript of the gene named lysosomal thioesterase PPT2 homolog, with no coding region annotated. The transcript has 7 exons. NCBI's taxonomy places the organism in Eukaryota, Metazoa, Arthropoda, Insecta, Lepidoptera, Pieridae. The record is from RefSeq and is a predicted model, not a curated record.